CAGUCGCCACGGUAAUACGGAGGGUGCAAGCGUUAAUCGGAAUUACUGGGCGUAAAGCGCACGCAGGCGGCUUUUUAAGUCGGAUGUGAAAUCCCUGAGCUUAACUUAGGAAUUGCAUUCGAUACUGGGAAGCUAGAGUAUGGGAGAGGAUGGUAGAAUUCCAGGUGUAGCGGUGAAAUGCGUAGAGAUCUGGAGGAAUACCGAUGGCGAAGGCAGCCAUCUGGCCUAAUACUGACGCUGAGGUACGAAAGCAUGGGGAGCAAACAGGAUUAGAUACCCCCGUAGUCCCUGUCUCUUAUAC
This 301-nucleotide ribosomal RNA is filed under the name uncultured bacterium. Its description in RNAcentral is "partial 16S ribosomal RNA". It matches the Rfam family "Bacterial small subunit ribosomal RNA", at positions 509 to 807 of the family's 1533-position model. The record is from RNAcentral.